Long non-coding RNA from Anolis carolinensis (green anole), 1026 nucleotides. RefSeq lists it as uncharacterized. The record is from RefSeq and is a predicted model, not a curated record. The transcript is spliced from 3 exons. Lineage: Eukaryota; Metazoa; Chordata; Lepidosauria; Squamata; Anolidae.
UCAAGCAGCCCAAAGGAGGCCAACAAAAGGUUUCCAGAGGGCCAAGGGCUAGUUGCAAGUUGUUUUGUAACAAAAAUUAUCAGACAAGAUACCAAAAGUGGCAUGCAGUACUCACUCAUGAGAAGACAGGAAAGCUUGGAGAAGAUCAUGAUGCUGGAGAAAAUGGAAUGAAAAAGGAAGAGGGUUUGACCAAGGGCAAGAUGGAUGGAUGGUAUCCGUGAAGUGACUAGCUUGACCUUGAAGGAGCUGGAGGUGGCAAUGGCCCGACAGGGAGCUCUGCCCUGGGCUGAUCCAUGCCACAAAGAGUCAGAAGCGUCUGAACGAAUAAACAACAAACGUCUGGAAAGAGAAUGAUGUAAUUGGAACAAAUGCAGGUGAAAAGGAAAAAAAACACCCCUUUUUCUUAUGAGAACUCCAUCUGAGCAACAAGAAAGACGAUAACUACUGGAAUUCUAAGAGUCCACAUGGCAUAAUGGUUUCAAUAUGGGAAGGCUAAAGACCUCAUAAAACUACAAAACCCAGUAUUCCAGACUGGCUCAGCACUGCAUAGAAUUACCGACUGUUAGGAAUUGUGGGAGCUGGAGUCCAAAACACCUGGAAGGCUGAAGUUUGCCCAGGUCUGCUAUAGACUGUACAUCAUCCAAAGUGCCAGUUAUGUCCCUGCAUUGCUAAGGAAUAAAAGGAAAGAAGAAGGCCAUCAGCAUGAAACAAAAACCUGGGCCCCCCAUUAUCAGCUUCCAGUUACCCCAAGGGUUCAGACAGCAUCUUCUGCAAGCUACAUCUCUACCAAACCAUCUUGAGACACAUGGCAACUGUAUCUGAGCAACACACAAUGUUGUCAUCAACCCAAGGAAGUCUGCAAAAUGUCAUAGCUAAUGUCAAUAAUGUUUUCCCUGCCAUCUGGUUCAGUUUUAGAAGAUCAUGUCCAGAAGAACACACAGAUUAGAUUCAGCUAACAAAGACUCACAAUGCAUGAAAACAAAAGGAAUCUCCAUUAAUGCAACAUAUAAAUGUCUCUUCCUACAA